Long non-coding RNA from Triticum dicoccoides, 959 nucleotides. RefSeq lists it as uncharacterized. The transcript has 2 exons. Lineage: Eukaryota; Viridiplantae; Streptophyta; Magnoliopsida; Poales; Poaceae. The record is from RefSeq and is a predicted model, not a curated record.
CCACACAAAUCUUAUCCACUCCCCCAUCCACUCCUCCCGCGGGUUCACUCUCUCCCCUUCCUCUCGAGCUUGUGCGGCGGAAUCUUCAGAGACCACGGCGAGAGGAGCUCGUGCCGGUGGCUGCGUCGGUGGCCUACUCAGACCCCGCGACGGAGGAGCUGCUCAUGGACGCGCGCGCGGCUCUCCCAAGCGCUCCUGCUCAGCGGCUCCGGCGACGCGCGCGCUGGCGGUGAGGAGCGGCAGGAAGGAGAUGUGGUGAUGCGUUCGACAACGAUGGCCACCCCUGCUACUGUCCUCGGUGCUGGCGCUCGUUCCCUGCCUGCGACGAUGGCGCCGCCAGGAACGGCGCCCUCCGCUCUUCCCCACCAUUCUCGCUUGAUCUGGUGGCAAGGGUGCUCAGGAGCGAUUCGUCGGCGGCGGGGGAGGCGGAGCUCGACAAGGAGGUGAGCGAGGUCGUGCGUCUGUCAGGGAGAUGGUCACCGGGAGGCGUAGGGGUCCGAGGGAGAGGCCACGGAGGUGAGCAGAGGUUGACGACGAGCUGCCGUGCUUCACCGUCGGCAUGAGGCGCAGCUGGGCCAGGAGGUGGAUGAGGCCCUGCUACUUGCAGCGGAGCUGCUCAUCGGCGUGGACGCCGUCUUCUUCGUGUGUGUCGCCGAUGGGGAACUGCUCGCCGGAUUUCGUCGCGACCUCAGGGAAACGAGACCUGGAGGCCGCUCGGUCGUGGGGGCUUCUCGUACGAGAACAUUUGUUCUGGCGAUCCCUCCUACUGCACGAAUCGUUCGAUGCAUGGGGUUCUCCUGCCACACGUGUAGGUAGUUUUGAUGUGCGCCCACACAGGAUUGUGUGGGCUGCCUGUUGGAUAUGCCACACAGGCUUGUGUGGGCGAGUGUCCAUUGUGCCACACGUGUGGCAGUUAUUGCGACCCUAUUCUUUUAGUAAUAGUACUAAUUUCCACAGUA